RNAcentral lists this ribosomal RNA (450 nucleotides) under uncultured bacterium. Its description in RNAcentral is "partial 16S ribosomal RNA". It matches the Rfam family "Bacterial small subunit ribosomal RNA", at positions 354 to 796 of the family's 1533-position model. The record is from RNAcentral.
GUGGGGAAUUUUGGACAAUGGGCGCAAGCCUGAUCCAGCAAUGCCGCGUGCAGGAAGAAGGCCUUCGGGUUGUAAACUGCUUUUGUACGGAACGAAACGGUCCGGGUUAAUACCCUGGGCUAAUGACGGUACCGUAAGAAUAAGCACCGGCUAACUACGUGCCAGCAGCCGCGGUAAUACGUAGGGUGCAAGCGUUAAUCGGAAUUACUGGGCGUAAAGCGUGCGCAGGCGGUUUUGUAAGACAGGCGUGAAAUCCCCGGGAUCAACCUGGGAAUUGCGCUUGUGACUGCAAGGCUGGAGUGCGGCAGAGGGGGAUGGAAUUCCGCGUGUAGCAGUGAAAUGCGUAGAUAUGCGGAGGAACACCGAUGGCGAAGGCAAUCCCCUGGGCCUGCACUGACGCUCAUGCACGAAAGCGUGGGGAGCAAACAGGAUUAGAUACCCGUGUAGUCC